This 69-nucleotide transfer RNA is filed under the name uncultured Bulleidia sp. It matches the Rfam family "tRNA". Rfam says of the family: Transfer RNA (tRNA) molecules are approximately 80 nucleotides in length. Their secondary structure includes four short double-helical elements and three loops (D, anti-codon, and T loops). Further hydrogen bonds mediate the characteristic L-shaped molecular structure. tRNAs have two regions of fundamental functional importance: the anti-codon, which is responsible for specific mRNA codon recognition, and the 3' end, to which the tRNAs corresponding amino acid is attached (by aminoacyl-tRNA synthetases). tRNAs cope with the degeneracy of the genetic code in two manners: having more than one tRNA (with a specific anti-codon) for a particular amino acid; and 'wobble' base-pairing, i.e. permitting non-standard base-pairing at the 3rd anti-codon position. The record is from RNAcentral. Lineage: Bacteria; Bacillati; Bacillota; Erysipelotrichia; Erysipelotrichales; Erysipelotrichaceae.
CGGUGUGGCUCAAUGGCAGAGCAACGCACUCGUAACGCGUAGGUUGGAAGUUCGAUUCUUCUCAUCGGC